GAGUUCAUGCCCUUCGGGGUAGAUCUCCCACCCUUUGUAUACCAUACCUCUGUUGCUUUGGCGGGCCGCCUAGCUACUGGCUUCGGCUGGUAAGUGCCCGCCAGAGGACCCAAGACCCUGAAUAUUAAUGUCGUCUGAGUAAAAUUUUAAUAUUUAAAACUUUCAACAACGGAUCUCUUUGCUCU
This 185-nucleotide unclassified non-coding RNA is filed under the name rhizosphere metagenome. RNAcentral's name for it is "partial ribosomal RNA internal transcribed spacer region". The record is from RNAcentral.